RNAcentral lists this ribosomal RNA (910 nucleotides) under uncultured bacterium. Its description in RNAcentral is "bacterial SSU rRNA". It matches the Rfam family "Bacterial small subunit ribosomal RNA", at positions 15 to 915 of the family's 1533-position model. The record is from RNAcentral. RNAcentral also lists the same sequence under 1 other name.
GAUCCUGGCUCAGGAUGAACGCUAGCUACAGGCUUAACACAUGCAAGUCGAGGGGAAACGACAUCGAAAGCUUGCUUUUGAUGGGCGUCGACCGGCGCACGGGUGAGUAACGCGUAUCCAACCUGCCCAUCACUUGGGGAUAACCUUGCGAAAGUAAGACUAAUACCCAAUGAUAUCUCUAGAAGACAUCUGAAAGGGAUUAAAGAUUUAUCGGUGAUGGAUGGGGAUGCGUCUGAUUAGCUUGUUGGCGGGGUGACGGCCCACCAAGGCGACGAUCAGUAGGGGUUCUGAGAGGAAGGUCCCCCACAUUGGAACUGAGACACGGUCCAAACUCCUACGGGAGGCAGCAGUGAGGAAUAUUGGUCAAUGGGCGAGAGCCUGAACCAGCCAAGUAGCGUGCAGGAAGACGGCCCUAUGGGUUGUAAACUGCUUUUAUAAGGGAAUAAAGUGAGUCUCGUGAGACUUUUUGCAUGUACCUUAUGAAUAAGGACCGGCUAAUUCCGUGCCAGCAGCCGCGGUAAUACGGAAGGUCCGGGCGUUAUCCGGAUUUAUUGGGUUUAAAGGGAGCGUAGGCCGGAGAUUAAGCGUGUUGUGAAAUGUAGAGGCUCAACCUCUGCACUGCAGCGCGAACUGGUCUUCUUGAGUACGCACAACGUGGGCGGAAUUCGUGGUGUAGCGGUGAAAUGCUUAGAUAUCACGAAGAACUCCGAUUGCGAAGGCAGCUCACGGGAGCGCAACUGACGCUGAAGCUCGAAAGUGCGGGUAUCGAACAGGAUUAGAUACCCUGGUAGUCCGCACGGUAAACGAUGGAUGCCCGCUGUUGGCCUGAAUAGGUCAGCGGCCAAGCGAAAGCAUUAAGCAUCCCACCUGGGGAGUACGCCGGCAACGGUGCAACUCAAAGGAAUUGACG